CCACACUCUUCCGUCUUCCGGAAGCGGAGCGCCGGACCCGCAACGGCUGAGCGUGCGACAGCUGCAGUGGCGGGCACGGCGGAAGCGAGGAGGACGGAAGGAGACCCGGGCCCGGCUCCCGCGCCGGGGUGGAGCGCCAUGGACGAGGCAGGCAGCUGCGCGAGCGGCGGAGGCUUCCGCCCGGGCGUGGACAGCCUGGACGAGCCGCCCAACAGCCGCAUCUUCCUGGUGAUCAGCAAAUACACGCCGGAGUCGGUGCUGAGGGAACGCUUCUCGCCCUUCGGGGAGAUCCAGGACAUCUGGGUGGUGCGGGACAAACACACGAAGGAGUCCAAGGGCAUCGCCUUUGUCAAGUUCGCUCGCAGCUCGCAGGCCUGCAGGGCCAUGGAGGAGAUGCACGGCCAGUGCCUCAGCCCUAACGACACCAAACCCAUCAAGGUUUUCAUUGCUCAGUCCAGAUCAUCUGGAAGUCACCGAGAUGUUGAAGAUGAAGAACUUACAAGAAUAUUUGUUAUGAUACCAAAGUCCUACACGGAAGAAGAUCUGCGGGAAAAAUUUAAGGUGUAUGGAGAUAUCGAGUAUUGCAGCAUUAUUAAGAAUAAAGUCACUGGAGAAAGUAAAGGUUUGGGCUAUGUUCGAUACUUAAAACCAUCACAAGCUGCCCAAGCAAUAGAAAAUUGUGAUCGAAGUUUUAGGGCUAUCUUGGCUGAACCUAAAAAUAAAGCAUCUGAAUCCUCAGAACAAGAUUAUUAUAGUAACAUGAGGCAAGAGACUUUGGGACAUGAACCUAGAGUAAAUAUGUUUCCAUUUGAACAACAAUCUGAUUUUUCAAGUUUUGACAAGAAUGACAACAGAGGCCAGGAAGCCAUCUCCAAACGCCUGUCAGUGGUGUCAAGAGUUCCUUUCACUGAAGAGCAGCUUUUCAGCAUUUUUGAUAUAGUACCAGGAUUGGAAUAUUGUGAGGUUCAGCGAGAUCCUUAUUCUAAUUAUGGUCAUGGAGUGGUUCAGUAUUUUAAUGUAGCAUCAGCUAUUUAUGCAAAAUACAAGUUACAUGGAUUUCAGUACCCCCCUGGAAAUCGGAUAGGUGUUUCCUUCAUUGAUGAUGGGAGUAACGCAACAGAUCUCCUUAGAAAAAUGGCAACGCAGAUGGUAGCUGCACAGCUUGCGUCAAUGGUGUGGAAUAACCCAAGUCAGCAGCAAUUUCUGCAAUUUGGAGGAAGUUCUGGAUCACAGUUGCCUCAAAUCCAGACAGAUGUUGUACUUCCAUCAUGCAAAAAAAAAGCCCCUCCUGAAACUCCUGUGAAAGAAAGACUUUUUAUCGUGUUUAAUCCUCAUCCUUUACCUUUAGAUGUAUUGGAGGAUAUAUUCUGUCGUUUUGGUAACCUGAUCGAAGUUUACCUUGUGUCAGGAAAAAAUGUGGGGUAUGCCAAGUAUGCAGAUAGAAUAAGCGCUAAUGAUGCCAUUACUACUUUACAUGGAAAGAUCCUGAAUGGAGUCAGACUUAAAGUUAUGCUGGCGGAUUCCCCAAGAGAAGAAUCUAACAAACGGCAAAGAACUUACUGAGUCUUGAGCAUUUUCCCUCCAGAAAUUCAGUACCUGCUUGCAUCAUCCUUCUGAAACAAAGACUAAAUAAUGACAUAAUCCUCAGCUGACUGACUGAAAAUGUGACUGGACGCACUCCCUGUGGACAGUUGACAGCUUUUUUUUUCAUAUACCUGAUAGUCUGUGUACAUUGUUUUGUCUGGGGAGCAGGAAUUGUUGACUUGUAUUUUUGAAUCCACACAUUAAUGCUAAAACUAAUAUGGUAGUUGUUUCUUAGAGCAACAUGUUGUUAUGUGUAGCAGAAAUAAAGUUUUCUUUGCUUAACUAAA
This is an RNA transcript of Equus caballus (horse), 1871 nucleotides long. It is a transcript of the gene named RNA binding motif protein 45, with no coding region annotated. The record is from RefSeq and is a predicted model, not a curated record. NCBI's taxonomy places the organism in Eukaryota, Metazoa, Chordata, Mammalia, Perissodactyla, Equidae.